UACGUAGGGUGCAAGCGUUGUCCGGAAUUAUUGGGCGUAAAGAGCUCGUAGGCGGUUUGUCGCGUCUGCUGUGAAAACCCGAGGCUCAACCUCGGGCCUGCAGUGGGUACGGGCAAACUAGAGUGCGGUAGGGGAGAUUGGAAUUCCUGGUGUAGCGGUGGAAUGCGCAGAUAUCAGGAGGAACACCGGUGGCGAAGGCGGGUCUCUGGGCCGAUACUGACGCUGAGGAGCGAAAGCGUGGGGAGCGAACAGG
RNAcentral lists this ribosomal RNA (253 nucleotides) under uncultured bacterium. Its description in RNAcentral is "partial 16S ribosomal RNA". It matches the Rfam family "Bacterial small subunit ribosomal RNA", at positions 524 to 776 of the family's 1533-position model. The record is from RNAcentral.